Long non-coding RNA from Corticium candelabrum, 337 nucleotides. RefSeq lists it as uncharacterized. The record is from RefSeq and is a predicted model, not a curated record. NCBI's taxonomy places the organism in Eukaryota, Metazoa, Porifera, Homoscleromorpha, Homosclerophorida, Plakinidae. The transcript is spliced from 3 exons.
AAGCCGUGAAUAAAGUUCAAACCAAUUUAGAAAAAGAGAGAAAGUUAUCUAGAAGAAAGCUUGUUAUCGAUAACGCACAAACUAUUAAAACUAUCUUAGAAGCUUCAAACCGACAACUAAAAUAUCGCACUGGACACACUUUUACCGAGUUUGUCAACAUGGUCAUAGACAAACUAGAAGUUGUGUGUCAGGAAAUGGAUGAAGAAGAGUCUGAAAAAAAGAUGAUGAAAGAAAAACUCGAACAAAUACGAAAGAAAAUAGCGCAGAUUACUCGUUGCACAAUAUUCGAAGUCAAAGCAGUAGCAGAUUCUAUGCUGGCUGACUUUGCAAUUGUUGU